RNAcentral lists this ribosomal RNA (375 nucleotides) under uncultured prokaryote. Its description in RNAcentral is "partial 16S ribosomal RNA". It matches the Rfam family "Bacterial small subunit ribosomal RNA", at positions 524 to 896 of the family's 1533-position model. The record is from RNAcentral.
UACGUAGGGGGCGAGCGUUGUCCGAAAUUACUGGGCGUAAAGCGCGCGUAGGCGGUUAUUUAAGUCUGGGGUGAAAGGCUCAGCGCCCAACGUGAACCGGGCCUUGGAUACUGGAUGCCUUGAGUCUGGGGGGGGGAAGGGGAAUUCCUGGUGUAGCGGUGAAAUGCGUAGAUAUCAGGAGGAACACCGGUGGCGAAGGCGCCUUCCUGGCCUAAGACUGACGCUGAGGGGCGAAAGCGUGGGGAGCAAACGGGAUUAGAUACCCCGGUAGUCCACGCCGUAAACGAUGAGUGCUAGGUGUCGGGGGUAUCGACCCCCCCGGUGCCGUCGCUAACGCAUUAAGCACUCCGCCUGGGGAGUACGGCCGCAAGGUUG